CAGUCGGCCUUACUUAGGGAUGUAAGAAAAUGAAAGGAAUAAGAUUGUAAUAAUUUGUAAUAAAAGCAUGAUUGUAUUCGAAAGUUAAAUGUAAAAUGUAAUUGUGAUGUAAAAUAUAUCUUGUGAAUAUGAAUGCUUGUAAUAGCAAGUAGAUUAUGUUUUUGAUACUUCCUUAUGCAAUCUUUAAUUGAAAUGUGUUCCUGGUUGGAACUUUGUACAUUGUAUUGAUUGCGACGCCUUGGACGUACAAGGAAGACUCUGUCCGCGGGUCAGGAAAAACUCUGUCCGUUCGGCGGUCUG
This 300-nucleotide long non-coding RNA is filed under the name Ananas comosus (pineapple). RNAcentral describes it as "long non-coding RNA (ACOM_LNC029050)". The record is from RNAcentral. Lineage: Eukaryota; Viridiplantae; Streptophyta; Magnoliopsida; Poales; Bromeliaceae.